RNAcentral lists this ribosomal RNA (852 nucleotides) under uncultured bacterium. RNAcentral's name for it is "partial 16S ribosomal RNA". It matches the Rfam family "Bacterial small subunit ribosomal RNA", at positions 1 to 906 of the family's 1533-position model. The record is from RNAcentral.
UAGAGUUUGAUCCUGGCUCAGAACGAACGCUGGCGGCAGGCUUAACACAUGCAAGUCGAGCGCCCCGCAAGGGGAGCGGCAGACGGGUGAGUAACGCGUGGGAACGUACCUUUUGCUACGGAAUAACUCAGGGAAACUUGUGCUAAUACCGUAUGUGCCCUUCGGGGGAAAGAUUUAUCGGCAAAGGAUCGGCCCGCGUUGGAUUAGCUAGUUGGUGAGGUAAAGGCUCACCAAGGCGACGAUCCAUAGCUGGUCUGAGAGGAUGAUCAGCCACACUGGGACUGAGACACGGCCCAGACUCCUACGGGAGGCAGCAGUGGGGAAUAUUGGACAAUGGGCGCAAGCCUGAUCCAGCCAUGCCGCGUGAGUGAUGAAGGCCCUAGGGUUGUAAAGCUCUUUCACCGGUGAAGAUAAUGACGGUAACCGGAGAAGAAGCCCCGGCUAACUUCGUGCCAGCAGCCGCGGUAAUACGAAGGGGGCUAGCGUUGUUCGGAUUUACUGGGCGUAAAGCGCACGUAGGCGGACUUUUAAGUCAGGGGUGAAAUCCCGGGGCUCAACCCCGGAACUGCCUUUGAUACUGGAAGUCUUGAGUAUGGUAGAGGUGAGUGGAAUUCCGAGUGUAGAGGUGAAAUUCNNAGAUAUUCGGAGGAACACCAGUGGCGAAGGCGGCUCACUGGACCAUUACUGACGCUGANGUGCGAAAGCGUGNGGAGCAAACAGGNAUUAGAUACCCUNNAGUCCACGCCNUAAACGAUGAAUGUUANCCGUUGGGGANUUUACUCUUCNGGUGNCGCANCUNACGCAUUAAACAUUCCGCCUGGGGGAGUACNGNCGCAAGAUUAAAACUCNANA